UGUAGGAGAUAAUAAGGUUAAAAUCCAAAAUAUAUACAAUGCCAAAAUCACAGUAUGAUACAACCACAACGUUUUCCCUUACCCUAACUAUGUGGUUUUCUUGCUUGAACCUAACUGUAGACAUUUGCGUGGCGUACAAAUGACACGCAAAAAGGAUAAAAUGUGUACUCGUGACACGCAGAAUGUCCAUCUGUGUGUGUUUGU
Sebastes umbrosus (honeycomb rockfish) is the source of this 204-nucleotide long non-coding RNA. RefSeq lists it as uncharacterized. The record is from RefSeq and is a predicted model, not a curated record. NCBI's taxonomy places the organism in Eukaryota, Metazoa, Chordata, Actinopteri, Perciformes, Sebastidae. The transcript is spliced from 3 exons.